AGUGAACGCUGGCGGUAGGCCUAACACAUGCAAGUCGAACGGCAGCACAGUAAGAGCUUGCUCUUACGGGUGGCGAGUGGCGGACGGGUGAGGAAUACAUCGGAAUCUACUUUUUCGUGGGGGAUAACGUAGGGAAACUUACGCUAAUACCGCAUACGACCUACGGGUGAAAGCAGGGGAUCUUCGGACCUUGCGCGAUUGAAUGAGCCGAUGUCGGAUUAGCUAGUUGGCGGGGUAAAGGCCCACCAAGGCGACGAUCCGUAGCUGGUCUGAGAGGAUGAUCAGCCACACUGGAACUGAGACACGGUCCAGACUCCUACGGGAGGCAGCAGUGGGGAAUAUUGGACAAUGGGCGCAAGCCUGAUCCAGCCAUACCGCGUGGGUGAAGAAGGCCUUCGGGUUGUAAAGCCCUUUUGUUGGGAAGGAAAAGCAGCAGGUUAAUACCCCGCUGUUCUGACGGUACCCAAAGAAUAAGCACCGGCUAACUUCGUA
RNAcentral lists this ribosomal RNA (492 nucleotides) under uncultured bacterium. Its description in RNAcentral is "partial 16S ribosomal RNA". It matches the Rfam family "Bacterial small subunit ribosomal RNA", at positions 29 to 507 of the family's 1533-position model. The record is from RNAcentral.